AGUGGCGAACGGGUGAGUAACACGUGGGCAACCUGCCCAAAAGAGGGGGAUAACACUUGGAAACAGGUGCUAAUACCGCAUAACCAUAGUUACCGCAUGGUAGCUAUGUAAAAGGUGGCUAUGCUACCGCUUUUGGAUGGGCCCGCGGCGCAUUAGCUAGUUGGUGGGGUAAAGGCUUACCAAGGCAAUGAUGCGUAGCCGAACUGAGAGGUUGAUCGGCCACAUUGGGACUGAGACACGGCCCAAACUCCUACGGGAGGCAGCAGUAGGGAAUCUUCCACAAUGGGCGAAAGCCUGAUGGAGCAACGCCGCGUGGGUGAAGAAGGUCUUCGGAUCGUAAAACCCUGUUGUUAGAGAAGAAAGUGCGUGAGAGUAACUGUUCACGUUUCGACGGUAUCUAACCAGAAAGCCACGGCUAACUACGUGCCAGCAGCCGCGGUAAUACGUAGGUGGCAAGCGUUAUCCGGAUUUAUUGGGCGUAAAGGGAACGCAGGCGGUCUUUUAAGUCUGAUGUGAAAGCCUUCGGCUUAACCGGAGUAGUGCAUUGGAAACUGGGAGACUUGAGUG
RNAcentral lists this ribosomal RNA (567 nucleotides) under uncultured bacterium. RNAcentral's name for it is "bacterial SSU rRNA". It matches the Rfam family "Bacterial small subunit ribosomal RNA", at positions 94 to 648 of the family's 1533-position model. The record is from RNAcentral.